This is an RNA transcript of Cervus elaphus (red deer), 1495 nucleotides long. It is a transcript of the gene named transmembrane protein 147-like, with no coding region annotated. Lineage: Eukaryota; Metazoa; Chordata; Mammalia; Artiodactyla; Cervidae. The transcript has a single exon. The record is from RefSeq and is a predicted model, not a curated record.
UUUUUUUUUUCUAUCUUUGAUGUUAGGGUGUUAUCUCAGGCUUACAUUAAUGCCUAGCAAUAUGCUUUUGUAAAUCCAGUCUCAACUUGGCAAAAGUCUCCAGAAUUGGAGAAAUUUGGAGUCAAACACUUAACAUUGAUUAUACUCUCAUAUUUAAAAUGCAGAACUUCAAUCAGAUAAUCCAUUGACAAAUAUCAUGAGUGUCUUUUUAAAGCUCUAUGAAGGCUGCACAUAGAAAUGAGUGAUCGCCUACAAGGAACUUACACUCUGGGACUUGUUCACAGCACCCCAGCCUAGCAGAAUUUGGUGGAGAGAAUGGGACCUAUGACAAAAUGUUAAGUAGCAAGCAAAGAUAGCCUAAUGAGACGUGUGGGAGAUCAGUUCUCUGACUGAUCAGAAGAGAGAAGGGAUCAUCACGGUCCAGAACAAAUGGGAAGAGAACCCAGCGUGAGCCUUUAGGAGGGAUAUAAAGGGAAGACAUGGUUCAGAUAAAAUGAGAAAUAAAGAGGUGGUGGUCUCAAAAAGGGAUACAUGUAAACAGAAUUGUAGCCCCUGGAGGCCAUAUAAUGUUUUGAAGUAACAGUAAAUAGAUUUUUCUAUAGGAAACUGAAUGAAAACAACAGUCUAAAAUGUUGGAAGGGGACCCAGGCUCCCAGAAGAGGUCCCGGGCCGUGGCGGAAGCAGGCGGGCGCCAGGCCUGGGCUCAGGCGCCAGGCUGCAGAGGCGGGCCGGGUGGCCGGCAUCAUGGCGCUCUUCCACUUCCGGAACUGCUUCGCUCUGGCCUACUUCCGCUGCUUCACCACCUACAAGUGCAGCGGGCUGUCUGAGUCCAGUGCUUUCUGGAAGUGCGUCCAGGCCGGGGUCGCCUACCUGUUCGUGCAGCUGUGCAAGAUGCUGUUCUUGGUCACUUUCUUUCCCACCUGGGAAGGCGGCGUCUGUGACUUCACUGGGGAGUUCAUGAAGGCCAGCAUGGACGUGGCAGACCCGAUAGGCCUAAACCUUGUCAUGUCCCGGAAUGCCGGCAAGGGGGAAUACAAGAUCAUGGUUGCUGCCCUGGGCUGGGCCACACCGAACUCAUUAUGUCCCGUGGCAUCCCCUCUGGGUUGGAGCUUGGGGGCAUUGAUUUGACUGGAAAUACAUCCAGAUGACCAUUGACUCCAACAUCAGUCUGGUCCAUCACAUUGUCGCCUCUGCCCAGGUGUGGAUGAUAACACGCUAUGACCUGCACCACACUUACCGACCAGCAGUCCUCCUCCUGAUGUUCCUUAGCGUCUACAAGGCCUUUGUCAUGGAGACCUUCGUCCACCUCUGUUCCCUGGGCAGCUGGACGGCACUGCUGGCUCGAGUGCUGGUGACGGGGCUUCUGGCCCUCAGCAGCUCGGCCCUGUAUGUCAGCGUGCACGCCUAGGCUUGGCGUCCCAGACUUUCAUAUACCUUCUGCCCGUCCCCAGGUUCAGUGAAGUAAACAGUAUUUGGAAAGUUAAAAAAAAAAAAA